RNAcentral lists this ribosomal RNA (252 nucleotides) under uncultured bacterium. RNAcentral describes it as "partial 16S ribosomal RNA". It matches the Rfam family "Bacterial small subunit ribosomal RNA", at positions 524 to 776 of the family's 1533-position model. The record is from RNAcentral.
UACGUAGGUGGCAAGCGUUGUCCGGAUUUAUUGGGUUUAAAGGGUGCGUAGGCGGUCUUUUAAGUCAGUGCUGAAAUAUCCCGGCUUAACCGGGAGGGUGGCAUUGAUACUGAAGGACUUGAGUAAAGUUGAGGUAGGCGGAAUUGACGGUGUAGCGGUGAAAUGCUAGAUAUCGUCAAGAACACCGAUAGUGUAGACAGCUUACUAAGCUUUAACUGACGCUGAGGCACGAAAGUGUGGGGAUCAAACAGG